This 112-nucleotide transfer RNA is filed under the name Lachnellula suecica. It matches the Rfam family "tRNA". From Rfam's summary of the family: Transfer RNA (tRNA) molecules are approximately 80 nucleotides in length. Their secondary structure includes four short double-helical elements and three loops (D, anti-codon, and T loops). Further hydrogen bonds mediate the characteristic L-shaped molecular structure. tRNAs have two regions of fundamental functional importance: the anti-codon, which is responsible for specific mRNA codon recognition, and the 3' end, to which the tRNAs corresponding amino acid is attached (by aminoacyl-tRNA synthetases). tRNAs cope with the degeneracy of the genetic code in two manners: having more than one tRNA (with a specific anti-codon) for a particular amino acid; and 'wobble' base-pairing, i.e. permitting non-standard base-pairing at the 3rd anti-codon position. The record is from Rfam by way of RNAcentral. Lineage: Eukaryota; Fungi; Ascomycota; Leotiomycetes; Helotiales; Lachnaceae.
ACUCCUGUGACGCAGUGGUUAGCGUGUCGUUCUUAUAUUCUCCGGGCGACUGGUUAAUAUGAUUCUUUCAUAAGAGAUGCGAAAGUCGUGGGUUCGACACCCACCAGGAGUA